Molecule: ribosomal RNA, 267 nt
Filed under: uncultured bacterium
Lineage: Bacteria
Description: partial 16S ribosomal RNA
Rfam family: Bacterial small subunit ribosomal RNA
Source: RNAcentral
GUCCACGCUGUAAACGAUGGAUACUAGGUGUGGGGGGUCUGACCCCCUCCGUGCCGCAGUUAACACAAUAAGUAUCCCACCUGGGGGAGUACGAUCGCAAGGUUGAAACUCAAAGGAAUUGACGGGGGCCCGCACAAGCGGUGGAGUAUGUGGUUUUAAUUCGAAGCAACGCGAAGAACCUUACCAGGGCUUGACAUCCCGAGGCCAGGUGUAGAGAUACACCCUUCUCUUCGGAGACCUCGGUGACAGGUGGUGCAUGGUUGUCGU